AGCUCCAAUAGCGUAUAUUAAAGUUGCUGCAGUUAAAAAGCUCGUAGUUGCAUUUCCGAGGCAAGGGAUUAGUCCGACCUUUGGUGGGUAUUUAAUCCUCUUGCCUCGUCCUUGAGUGGUGCUUCUUGGUAUUAAGUUAUCGAGGAGAUAGCCGCUCAUCGUUUACUGUGAGAAAAUUAGAGUGUUCAAAGCAGGCUUAUGCCGUUGAAUAUAUUAGCAUGGAAUAAUAAGAUAGGACCUCGGUACUAUUUUGUUGUUUUGAGAACCAAGGUAAUGAUUAAUAGGGACAGUUGGGGGUAUUCGUAUUCAGUUGUCAGAGGUGAAAUUCUUAGAUUUACGGAAGACGAACUACUGCGAAAGCAUUUACCAAGGAUGUUUUCA
Molecule: ribosomal RNA, 381 nt
Filed under: uncultured marine Chaetocerotaceae
Lineage: Eukaryota; Bacillariophyta; Thalassiosirophyceae; Chaetocerotales; Chaetocerotaceae
Description: SSU rRNA
Rfam family: Eukaryotic small subunit ribosomal RNA
Source: RNAcentral